CCUACGGGAGGCAGCAGUGGGGAAUUUUGGACAAUGGGCGCAAGCCUGAUCCAGCAAUGCCGCGUGAGUGAAGAAGGCCUUCGGGUUGUAAAGCUCUUUUGUCAGGGAAGAAACGGUGGGGGCUAAUAUCCCUCGCUAAUGACGGUACCUGAAGAAUAAGCACCGGCUAACUACGUGCCAGCAGCCGCGGUAAUACGUAGGGUGCAAGCGUUAAUCGGAAUUACUGGGCGUAAAGCGUGCGCAGGCGGUUUUGUAAGUCUGUCGUGAAAGCCCCGGGCUCAACCUGGGAAUUGCGAUGGAGACUGCAAGGCUUGAAUCUGGCAGAGGGGGGUAGAAUUCCACGUGUAGCAGUGAAAUGCGUAGAGAUGUGGAGGAACACCGAUGGCGAAGGCAGCCCCCUGGGUCAAGAUUGACGCUCAUGCACGAAAGCGUGGGGAGCAAACAGGAUUAGAUACCCUGGUAGUCCACGCCCUAAACGAUGUCUACUAGUUGUCGGGUUUUAAUUAACUUGGUAACGCAGCUAACGCGUGAAGUAGACCGCCUGGGGGAGGUACGGUCGCGAGAGUUAAACGUAACGAAGGAAGUUAGACGGCGUGAGACGUGCCGACGGACGACGACGAGGGAGGAGG
RNAcentral lists this ribosomal RNA (629 nucleotides) under uncultured bacterium. RNAcentral's name for it is "bacterial SSU rRNA". The stretch from base 1 to 542 matches the Rfam family "Bacterial small subunit ribosomal RNA", at positions 338 to 873 of the family's 1533-position model. The record is from RNAcentral.